CUAACCUUGAGUCAUUAUCAAAACCUGUUUAAACUGAGGAAUCAACAUGGACAGAUAUCUACUAGUGAUUGCCAUUACAGUUUCAGGUGCAUUUGCUGAUAGCAUUGGUCCAGUUGACAAGGACACUAAUAUGAUCAUUAGAGAAGGAGAGUCUGUGACACUGAGAUGCUCAUAUGAUGCUAGCAGCAAUAAUAUUUUGCUUUACUGGUACAGACAGUAUCCAAACAGAGAACCAGAAUAUUUACUGUAUAAAGGUGCUCGAGCAUACAGCUCUGAUACAUUUUCUGAUAUACCAGACAAUCGGUUUCAGUCGAAAACAUCCCAGUCAUCCACUGAACUCAUUAUUAAAGCAGCAGCUCUGUCAGAUUCAGCUCUCUAUUAUUGUGCUCUAAGAGUAUUAGCCCAGUGA
Non-coding RNA from Megalobrama amblycephala (Wuchang bream), 409 nucleotides. Lineage: Eukaryota; Metazoa; Chordata; Actinopteri; Cypriniformes; Xenocyprididae. The record is from the annotation of a RefSeq genome assembly.